GGCCUUGUGGCGCAAUGGUAGCGCGUCUGACUCCAAAUCAGAAGGUUGUGUGUUCAAAUCACAGCAAGGUCA
Molecule: transfer RNA, 72 nt
Filed under: Merluccius polli (Benguela hake)
Lineage: Eukaryota; Metazoa; Chordata; Actinopteri; Gadiformes; Merlucciidae
Rfam family: tRNA
About the family: Transfer RNA (tRNA) molecules are approximately 80 nucleotides in length. Their secondary structure includes four short double-helical elements and three loops (D, anti-codon, and T loops). Further hydrogen bonds mediate the characteristic L-shaped molecular structure. tRNAs have two regions of fundamental functional importance: the anti-codon, which is responsible for specific mRNA codon recognition, and the 3' end, to which the tRNAs corresponding amino acid is attached (by aminoacyl-tRNA synthetases). tRNAs cope with the degeneracy of the genetic code in two manners: having more than one tRNA (with a specific anti-codon) for a particular amino acid; and 'wobble' base-pairing, i.e. permitting non-standard base-pairing at the 3rd anti-codon position.
Source: Rfam by way of RNAcentral